GGUACAUAGUGGCGGAGGAAGGGCUGGUCCCUUCGGGGGGAACCUUGCUGAAUUAUUCACCCUUGUCGGUAGCGUACUUCUUGUUUCCUUGGUGGGUUCGCCCACCACUAGGACAAACAUAAACCUUUUGUAAUUGCAAUCAGCGUCAGUAACAAAUUAAUAAUUACAACUUUCAACAACGGAUCUCUUGGUUCUGGCAUCGAUGAAGAACGCAGCGAAAUGCGAUAAGUAGUGUGAAUUGCAGAAUUCAGUGAAUCAUCGAAUCUUUGAACGCACAUUGCGCCCUUUGGUAUUCCAAAGGGCAUGCCUGUUCGAGCGUCAUUUGUACCCUCAAGCUUUGCUUGGUGUUGGGCGUCUUGUCUCUAGCUUUGCUGGAGACUCGCCUUAAAGUAAUUGGCAGCCGGCCUACUGGUUUCGGAGCGCAGCACAAGUCGCACUCUCUAUCAGCAAAGGUCUAGCAUCCAUUAAGCCUUUUUUUCAACUUUUGACCUCGGAUCAGGUAGGGAUACCCGCUGAACUUAAGCAUAUCAU
This 531-nucleotide ribosomal RNA is filed under the name Alternaria tenuissima. RNAcentral's name for it is "eukaryotic LSU rRNA". The stretch from base 168 to 321 matches the Rfam family "5.8S ribosomal RNA". Lineage: Eukaryota; Fungi; Ascomycota; Dothideomycetes; Pleosporales; Pleosporaceae. The record is from RNAcentral.